This 477-nucleotide ribosomal RNA is filed under the name uncultured bacterium. RNAcentral's name for it is "bacterial SSU rRNA". It matches the Rfam family "Bacterial small subunit ribosomal RNA", at positions 28 to 488 of the family's 1533-position model. The record is from RNAcentral.
GAUGAACGCUGGCGGCAUGCCUAAUACAUGCAAGUCGAACGAGAGGAAGGAAAGCUUGCUUUUCUGAAUCUAGUGGCGAACGGGUGAGUAACACGUAGGUAACCUGCCCAUGUGCCCGGGAUAACUUCUGGAAACGGAUGCUAAAACCGGAUAGGUAGCAGACAAGCAUUUGACUGCUAUUAAAGUGGCUAAGGCCAUGAACAUGGAUGGACCUGCGGUGCAUUAGCUAGUUGGUGAGGUAACGGCCCACCAAGGCGACGAUGCAUAGCCGGCCUGAGAGGGCGGACGGCCACAUUGGGACUGAGACACGGCCCAAACUCCUACGGGAGGCAGCAGUAGGGAAUUUUCGUCAAUGGGGGGAACCCUGAACGAGCAAUGCCGCGUGAGUGAAGAAGGUCUUCGGGUCGUAAAGCUCUGUUGUAAGAGAAAAACGACAUUCAUAGGGAAUGAUGAGUGAGUGAUGGUAUCUUACCAGAA